RNAcentral lists this ribosomal RNA (854 nucleotides) under Dirina fallax. Its description in RNAcentral is "LSU rRNA". It matches the Rfam family "Eukaryotic large subunit ribosomal RNA", at positions 72 to 943 of the family's 3401-position model. Lineage: Eukaryota; Fungi; Ascomycota; Arthoniomycetes; Arthoniales; Roccellaceae. The record is from RNAcentral.
GGAUUGCCCUAGUAACGGCGAGUGAAGCGGCAACAGCUCAAAUUUGAAAUCUGGCCCCCUCGGGGUUCGAGUUGUAAUUUGUAGAGGAUGCUUCGGCGUCGGCCCCGGGCUAAGUCCCCUGGAACGAGGCGCUCUAGAGGGUGAGAGCCCCGUACUCACUCGGGUGCCCUUCGCCAUGUGAAGCUCCUUCGACGAGUCGAGUUGUUUGGGAAUGCAGCUCUAAGCGGGAGGUAUAUUUCUUCUAAAGCUAAAUACCGGCCAGAGACCGAUAGCGCACAAGUAGAGUGAUCGAAAGAUGAAAAGCACUUUGGAAAGAGAGUUAAAAAGCACGUGAAAUUGUUGAAAGGGAAGCUCUUGCCGCCAGACUUGCCGCGGUUGCUCAGCCGCCCCCCGGGGCGGUGUACUCUUCCGUCGGCAGGCCAGCGUCGGUUCGGGCGACCGGAUAAAGGCCCUGGGAAUGUAGCACCCUCCGGGGUGUGUUAUAGCCCGGGGUGCAAUGCGGUCAGCCCGGUCCGAGGCACGCGUUCGCGAGGACGCUGGCGUAAUGGCUGCAAGCGACCCGUCUUGAAACACGGACCAAGGAGUCUAACAUCUGUGCGAGUGUUUGGGUCUCAAACUCAUGCGCGUAAUGAAAGUGAACGGAGGUGGGAACCCCCUCGAGGGGCGCACCAUCGACCGAUCCUGAUGUCUUCGGAUGGAUUUGAGUAAGAGCAUAGCUGUUGGGACCCGAAAGAUGGUGAACUAUUCCCGGAUAGGGUGAAGCCAGAGGAAACUCUGGUGGAGGCUCGCAGCGGUUCUGACGUGCAAAUCGAUCGUCAAAUCUAGGAAUAGGGGCGAAAGACUAAUCGAACCAU